Molecule: long non-coding RNA, 450 nt
Filed under: Homo sapiens (human)
Lineage: Eukaryota; Metazoa; Chordata; Mammalia; Primates; Hominidae
Description: HSALNT0330096
Source: RNAcentral
GUGAGAAACAGUCUUUACAUAAGAACAAUGUAAAGAAGACUCACUAAAGUACAUUGUGGGCCAGGAGCUGGCUCCAGAAAGAGAUGUUCAAAGAUAAAGCUGAGUUUCUUCAGUACGUAUUGUGUUCUCUGGCAUUGGCAGCAUCUAAUCUUGACGUGGAAGACACUUGGGGAGCCCUUGAAUGGCUGUUUCAGUAACAAGCUUAAUUUCACUCCUCAGCACUGGUGUUUUACAGCUGUUGCAGAGUAAGAAGUGUCAACUUCAUUGGACAUGAAGGAGAAAUCUCAAACAGAGCGGGAAGCAAUUAUGUAUUCAAGGUCAGGCAGAGCAAGAAACAUGCAUCAGAGCCCCCACCUGAGGCAGAUUCACUCUUCUUUGCUGUUGAAUAGCCAGAAUUCAUCUUUGAAAAAUUUACUGUGAAAAUAAAAACAACUGUCAAAUGAAGAAAAU